GUAGUCUGCAACUCGACUACAUGAAGCCGGAAUCGCUAGUAAUCGCGGAUCAGAAUGCCGCGGUGAAUACGUUCCCGGGUCUUGUACACACCGCCCGUCACACCAUGGGAGCCGGAAAUGCCCGAAGUCAGUGACCCAACCGCGAGGAGGGAGCUGCCGAAGGCAGGUCUGGUAACUGGGGUGAAGUCGUAACAAGGUAAC
This 201-nucleotide ribosomal RNA is filed under the name uncultured bacterium. RNAcentral's name for it is "partial 16S ribosomal RNA". It matches the Rfam family "Bacterial small subunit ribosomal RNA", at positions 1300 to 1500 of the family's 1533-position model. The record is from RNAcentral.